This 90-nucleotide transfer RNA is filed under the name Bacteriophage sp. Its description in RNAcentral is "tRNA-Ser". It matches the Rfam family "tRNA". From Rfam's summary of the family: Transfer RNA (tRNA) molecules are approximately 80 nucleotides in length. Their secondary structure includes four short double-helical elements and three loops (D, anti-codon, and T loops). RNAcentral also lists the same sequence under 2 other names. The record is from RNAcentral.
GGAGAGUUGGCUGAGUGGUCUAAAGCGCUGGUCUUGAAAACCAGAGGGCGGUAAAACGCUCCAAGAGUUCGAAUCUCUUACUCUCCUCCA